GAUGAAGAACGCAGCGAACGUGCGAAACGUAAUGUAAAUUGCAGAAUUCAGUGAAUCAUCGAAUCUUUGAACGCAUCUUGCGCUCCUUGGUAUUCCGAGGAGCAUGCCUGUUUGAGUGUCAUGAAUACUCUCAACUUCAACCCUUUUUUCGGAAAGGGAGGAAGGUUGGACUUGGGUGUUUGUUGAAGUGCGAGCUUCGACUCAUCCUAAAUGCAUUAGCGAUCUGCCUCGAUCACACACAAUGUGAUAAUUAAAACUAAAGCAUUGUUUAAUGAUCAAGUCGAGACUGCUUCUAACUGUCGCAAGACAAUAACGUGCAUACAUUUGUGCAUGUCAUUUGAACUCAAAUCAGGUAGGACUACCCGCUGAACUUAAGCAUAUCAAUAAGCGGAGGA
This 395-nucleotide unclassified non-coding RNA is filed under the name soil metagenome. RNAcentral describes it as "partial contains 5.8S ribosomal RNA, internal transcribed spacer 2, and large subunit ribosomal RNA". The stretch from base 1 to 121 matches the Rfam family "5.8S ribosomal RNA", at positions 35 to 154 of the family's 154-position model. The record is from RNAcentral.